Long non-coding RNA from Homo sapiens (human), 2134 nucleotides. Ensembl annotates it as long intergenic non-protein coding RNA 941. The record is from Ensembl. Lineage: Eukaryota; Metazoa; Chordata; Mammalia; Primates; Hominidae.
GCAGGACCCAGCGCCGCGGUAGCCUUCUCUGAACUGCGGCUCAGGCGGAGGUGUCACUCCUGCCUCCAGCCCAGGAGGGCAGGUAGAGACAGCUCCGGGCCGGGGGUGGAGGAUGGUGCGGUGGGGAGGAGGCAAGGAAAUUCCCAGCCUUCCUGCGCGAACCUGGGAGACCAGCAGGCACCUGGUCUCGUCCCGCUGGGUCCCCUCCGCACCCAAGACUGUCUUCCCAAGUGGCUUACUCCACAGAAGGAAUGUCGUCAGCUGAUUAUAUCUGAUUAGCAUCCAGUUCCGACGACUCAUCCCUUAAAACGGAUGUGGUCUCAUUAGGUUGCCCAAGCUGGACUUGUACUCUUGGCCUCAAGAGGUCCUUCCAUCUCAGUCUCCCAAGUAGCUGGGACUACAAGCAUGCACCACUACACUCAGCCAAAUACUUUCAAUAAUUUGCCAGCUGACAACUUGAUUGGGUUCUCCUUCAGGUUUGAAGCGCCCUCGAGAAGUGUCUAAAGGAGACAGUUGAUAGCCAAACAACAGUUUUGGAUUCACUGACUGAUUAUGAAAGAAGCAGUAGACUGGUAUCAAGAAUCAGUCAGCAAGGAGGCCCUCACCAGACGCCAGUGCCAUGUUCUUGGACUUCUCAGCCUCCAUAUUCAUGAACUAAGUUUUUGGAAUCCUUAGGCUUCCACGUGUGGAAAGCCUGAGCUAACCUACUGGAGGAUGAGCCAUCACCUGGAGCAGAUUCAGGCCAUCCUAGUUGAAGCCUCCCUAGGCCAAGCAACCGUCCAACUACCAGACAUUGACCAUUCAGCCUUGAACAUUCAGCACAAAGACAAAACAGACCAGACCAGAAGAGUCCCACAGAAUAGGGGAAACUAUUCAGAGAAAACUUAAGCCACUAAGUUUUAUGGUGUUUUGUUCUGUAGCAGAAGCAUAGGCAUACUGACAAUACAAACCGAAAUCCUUCUAACGUAGUGGACCUUUUCAGGCCAGCAUUUUUUCCUUGAAAACCUGGAGCAUGUAUCCAUCUUAUAGCAGAGAUCACUUUCACAAUGUUUGGGCUCUUGAUUUGAAUUGAUGAUGUAAUGAGCCCUCUAUCCAGAUUGUAACUAAUUACUCUGCGAAUUGACUGGAUUCCACACCCUUCUAAUAUUUUACUUUUCCUCUUUUAUCAACUCUCAUUCUUGCUGCCAUGAUCAAUGGACCAACUAUGCUUAUAACCACAAAUUUUGAUAUGCUUAAACAAAUGAACAAAUAUAUUUAAUAAUUUCUUUUUUUUUUUUGAAAUAGUAUCUUGCUCUGUCACCCAGGCUGCAGUGCAGCAGCGUGAUCUCAGCUCACUAUAACCUCCACCUCCCGGGUUCAAGUGAUUCUCCUGCCUCAGCCUCCCAAGUAGCUGGGACUACAGGCGCCCACCACCAUACCUGGCUAAUUUUUUGUAUUUUUAGUAGAGACAGGGUUUAUCCAUGUUGGCCAGGCUGGUCUCAAACUCCUGACCUCAAGUGAUCCUCCUGCCUCGGCCUCCCAAAGUGCUGGGAUUACAGGUGUGAGCCACCAUGCCCAGCCAAUAAUUUCCUGAUAUAAUAAAAAUGCCAAUACUAUACAAUUAAAUAGUAAAGUGAUAAAAAAUAGGAUAACAUGAUAACCACUAAUUAAUAUAUACUACAUAAUCAUCCUUUUCGUGAGUUGAAAUGUUCUUUUAGCACACUUUAUGGUUUAUCCUUUCUGGAAUACUAUUAUAUGAUCAUGAUUUUUCUCACACUUGUUCCAGUGAAAUAUACUUUUAGGUGUUUCCUUUGUAUUGUUCAAACUGUAAUAUCUCCAGUGGAAGAUUUUUUAAGCUUGUUCUUGUCUUGUCAGUGUCACCCACAUAGUCAUAGUCUGAAAGCAUUUUGCUUUCUGGAAAUAAGAUAUUAUAGGCACCAAGUUAUGGAAUUAUCUACUUUUCACCAAGCCUUCAUUCUUUCAGUGCUGUAUUAGAGACCUCAUUUAGGGUUCUAAGGGUGCAUAUCAAAUUGUUCCAUGAGUCUAAAAUGGAUAAUUCUUCUGUGGGCCAUUUUUAGUGCUAGAGCUAGAAAAGUUAUACUUUUAAAAGGUAAAUAGCUCACAAUGAUUUUGCAAUAUAAUUCCCACUUUACCC